Long non-coding RNA from Chroicocephalus ridibundus (black-headed gull), 1378 nucleotides. RefSeq lists it as uncharacterized. The record is from RefSeq and is a predicted model, not a curated record. The transcript has 3 exons. Lineage: Eukaryota; Metazoa; Chordata; Aves; Charadriiformes; Laridae.
CAGCAGCCAGAGCACCAUCUGUGCACACAGCUUAUCCAUACCUCCUGCCUUCGGCACAAAGGAAUGUGUCAGCUCCCGCUUUUCCAGAUCAGCUGAAAGCCUCCUUCGUGCUCCAGUGAAAUUCUGCAACCGUUCCCUGAAGAUCUAAUCCCUUCACCCCGCACGUCCGACUGGCACAGCCCUUCCUUCGGCAAGAAGCUCUUCCUGCAGCGCUGCUUUUGCAGGCUGGAGCUGGGAAGGUUCAGCUGCUCUUCAGUGUCACCUCCCUGCCCCGCCAGUUGCAGAACGAUCAUCUCAGCGUCCUGGGGAAUGUGUCACCAGCUUCACCUACUUCUGAGAGCUUGUGGAUGCCAUAAAAACUUCACAGGAGUCACUGGAGAUGGAUCUCCGUGGUCUGUGCGGAGCCAUCAGCUGUGUCCCCAUGCAAACGUGGACUUGGCAGGCACUUUCUGAACAACAGUUUGCAGGAGGAAAGCAUGCAAACGAGAAAAUGAGAACCAAGGAGGGCAGAAGAGAGGGUUUCAAGACUUUUUGUCCUAGGACAAAAUCUACUUCUUUGAAACACUUCAUAAAUAUCAACACCCCACUCCCCCAAGAAAAAAGCAAGCAGACAGCAACAACUGGCUGAACACUGGUCUUUCUAGAAGCAGCUUAAUUACAGCAACUUUUGAUUAAUAACAUUAAUAGCAACACUUACAGAAUCAAUCAUUGCUAAUUUCUUUCCUAUUUUAUAUAAAGAAUAAACUCUCUAACGUGAACCUCAGCCAGAGCCUGUUGCAGAAAUCAACCUUCCCAGUCAAAAAAAAAAGUGAAGUCAGGUGUGAGAAGAGAAAAACAAAAUGCUUUCUAUACCCUUGUGCUUUCGCUGGUGGAGAAACUCUUUACAAAUUCCAGUGACAGGCAAUUUCUGGCCGAGGACUUUUACCAACAGCCAGUACAUUUACCGAUUGCUGGAAGCCCCCAAGUGAAGACCAACAAAAGAUCUAAGAGCAGAGUCCUCAACACAUAGCCUGUGGAUCUGCCGGGGUGCUUUAAAAUCUAGCGCAGGUUAUUUGAAAGGAUUUGUCAGGGCUCUUGGCUGUCUCUGGUGCCGUGGGACCGUGCUCCUCUGUGGCAGCACUGCCUGUCCCUGCCUGGCUCACCAUGUAGCUGCCCUCGCCCCCCCAGACUCGCCUUCCCCUGGGGAGCAGCCCAGCUCUUGCGGCUCCCCAACGGAGUUGUGUAUGAGAUGAUUUUAAAACAAUCCCUUUAAAUGUCAAAGCACUUUCCCCAGCUGAACAUGUUACAUGGUAACGCAUUAUUUCUUGGCCCUUGGUUCAAGGCCAGACAGGACAUUUUAUGGUCAGUGUGGGAAAAGGAGCAAGAAUUUUUUCCUGCU